Molecule: ribosomal RNA, 524 nt
Filed under: uncultured bacterium
Lineage: Bacteria
Description: partial 16S ribosomal RNA
Rfam family: Bacterial small subunit ribosomal RNA
Source: RNAcentral
UGGGGAAUUUUGGACAAUGGGCGAAAGCCUGAUCCAGCAAUGCCGCGUGUGUGAAGAAGGCCUUCGGGUUGUAAAGCACUUUUGUCCGGAAAGAAAUCCUUGGCUCUAAUACAGUCGGGGGAUGACGGUACCGGAAGAAUAAGCACCGGCUAACUACGUGCCAGCAGCCGCGGUAAUACGUAGGGUGCAAGCGUUAAUCGGAAUUACUGGGCGUAAAGCGUGCGCAGGCGGUUUGCUAAGACCGAUGUGAAAUCCCCGGGCUCAACCUGGGAACUGCAUUGGUGACUGGCAGGCUAGAGUAUGGCAGAGGGGGGUAGAAUUCCACGUGUAGCAGUGAAAUGCGUAGAGAUGUGGAGGAAUACCGAUGGCGAAGGCAGCCCCUGGGCCAAUACUGACGCUCAUGCACGAAAGCGUGGGGAGCAAACAGGAUUAGAUACCCUGGUAGUCCACGCCCUAAACGAUGUCAACUAGUUGUUGGGGAUUCAUUUCCUAGUAACGUAGCUAACGCGUGAAGUUGACCGCCU